CUACGGGUUGCUGCAGUGGGGGAUAUUGCACAAUGGGCGAAAGCCUGAUGCAGCAACGCCGCGUGAAGGAAGACGGAUUACGGUCUGUAAACUUCUAUCAGCUGGGAAGAAAAUGACGGUACCAGACUAAGAAGCCCCGGCUAACUACGUGCCAGCAGCCGCGGUAAUACGUAGGGGGCAAGCGUUAUCCGGAUUUACUGGGUGUAAAGGGUACGUAGGCGGUCGCUUAAGUCAGAUGUGAAAGCCCGAAGCUCAACUUCGGGACUGCAUUUGAAACUGGGUGACUAGAGUACAGGAGAGGAAAGCGGAAUUCCUAGUGUAGCGGUGAAAUGCGUAGAUAUUAGGAAGAACACCAGUGGCGAAGGCGGCUUUCUGGACUGUAACUGACGCUGAGGUACGAAAGCGUGGGGAGCGAACAGGAUUAGAUACCCCCGUAGUC
RNAcentral lists this ribosomal RNA (439 nucleotides) under uncultured bacterium. RNAcentral's name for it is "partial 16S ribosomal RNA". It matches the Rfam family "Bacterial small subunit ribosomal RNA", at positions 339 to 795 of the family's 1533-position model. The record is from RNAcentral.